Molecule: ribosomal RNA, 322 nt
Filed under: uncultured eukaryote
Lineage: Eukaryota
Description: partial 18S ribosomal RNA
Rfam family: Eukaryotic small subunit ribosomal RNA
Source: RNAcentral
CCCUUAGAUGUUCUGGGCCGCACGCGUGCUACACUGAGUGGAUCAGCGGGUCAGGUUGCGCGAAAGUGUUUCCUAAUCUUUAAAUCCGCUCGUGAUGGGGAUUGACGGUUGCAAUUUUCCGUCAUGAACGAGGAAUACCUUGUAAGCGCCGGUCAUCAUCCCGCGCUGAAUACGUCCCUGCCCUUUGUACACACCGCCCGUCGCUCCUACCGAUUGAGUGGUCCGGUGAGGCUUUGGGAUCUGAGCGGAAAGAGCGUUUCGCUGUUUCUGCCCGGAAAACUCAGUCGAACCUUAUCAUUUAGAGGAAGGAGAAGUCGUAACA